UGCGCCAAGGAAAACCGAACGAAGCGUCCGCCCCUGGCAUCCCGUUCGCGGAGCGUGCCGCGGGAUCGGGCGUCUAUCAAAUGUCAAAACGACUCUCGGCAACGGAUAUCUCGGCUCUCGCAUCGAUGAAGAACGUAGCGAAAUGCGAUACUUGGUGUGAAUUGCAGAAUCCCGUGAACCAUCGAGUCUUUGAACGCAAGUUGCGCCCGAAGCCAUUAGGCCGAGGGCACGUCUGCCUGGGCGUCACGC
RNAcentral lists this ribosomal RNA (249 nucleotides) under Clinopodium tomentosum. Its description in RNAcentral is "5.8S ribosomal RNA". The stretch from base 91 to 246 matches the Rfam family "5.8S ribosomal RNA". Rfam says of the family: 5.8S ribosomal RNA (5.8S rRNA) is a component of the large subunit of the eukaryotic ribosome. It is transcribed by RNA polymerase I as part of the 45S precursor that also contains 18S and 28S rRNA. The record is from RNAcentral. Lineage: Eukaryota; Viridiplantae; Streptophyta; Magnoliopsida; Lamiales; Lamiaceae.